This is a long non-coding RNA of Salvia splendens (bonfire salvia), 1131 nucleotides long. RefSeq lists it as uncharacterized. The transcript has 3 exons. The record is from RefSeq and is a predicted model, not a curated record. Lineage: Eukaryota; Viridiplantae; Streptophyta; Magnoliopsida; Lamiales; Lamiaceae.
AAUGACGAGCUGACCCUGGAAAUGCAACAGACGUAUGAUGAGCAAAAAGCUAACAUGGAUGAAAUGAUUAAGCAAUCCCUGCUAUCUGAUAUCAUGAAGGGGAUACAAGAGGACAAAGCAAGGUUUAGGGGAGAUGAACAGAUGAUAGGUGAAGAAGGUGUCUGUUGCCCCGAACUACAAUCCCAAUCCAAAUUGACACCACCUGCACAGUGCUCGUCGUCCUCUACCGCCUCCUCCGGUGGUGUUUCUCCUCCUGCGCAUCGCCGCCGCCAAACACGCACAGGCCCCGGUCUUUGCUGCUGCUGCCUCCCGUCCUUUCACGGCGACUCAGUGUCGUCGCUGACGUAUCCGGCCGAGGCAGACGCUGCUCAGUCUGAUUUGCAGACCAGCGCCGCCGCCGCCUCCGCUGCCCGUCAGGGUCCCCGCGGCUGCCCUCGUGGUCUCGCCGUCGCCGGUGGUCUCGAGGUAGCCCCUCGGCCUUAAAGCUAAGUUCUUUUACUCCCUUUCAUUAUUUAGUAUUUUGUUGAGAAUUUGGGCAGUAGCUAUGUAGAGUUGGAGGUCUUGAAAAUUACUACUGUGUUACUGGAAUGUGUUCAUUAUAUUGGGAACUUCAACUGCUACUUGUUCUAAGAGUUGCUACUGUCAUGAAAUUUCUACAGCCAUGAUUCUAUCUUCAAAAAUAUGCAUAUGCUUGUACGUAAAUGUAAAGGAAAAGAAGGGUUCGGGAUUCACCUUUUUGAUGUGGAAUAAAGGGUUGGUGGAUUGCAGUGCUUGACCCUGCAAUUGUGUGCAAAUCCCUCUCCUUGGACUCCUCUAUCCUACGUUGGGUUGGUGUGUGGUGUGUGCAGUGAAUUUAGGAUUUGUGAUGGUGAUGAGGGAAAAACCCAGUUUAAGCUUGUGGCUUUGGUGUAGGAAAACAAAUUACAUCCAUAGUCUUCCCUGAUGAUGUACCAGACUUUCUUGGAGUGCAAGCACGACCGUUGAACGGGCUGCGUGAACUUUCCUAUAAUUGUAAUAGAUAAGGAUUCGAUGUUACUUUUUUUUACUUGAAAUAUUCGUUCGAGAAUGAAGCAACGAUUAUUUAUAAUUCCAAGAUCAAUUAUUAUACAUGAAAAUGGCAGAUUUUGAAUA